RNAcentral lists this ribosomal RNA (708 nucleotides) under uncultured bacterium. RNAcentral describes it as "bacterial SSU rRNA". It matches the Rfam family "Bacterial small subunit ribosomal RNA", at positions 65 to 778 of the family's 1533-position model. The record is from RNAcentral.
AGCGCUUUGGAAAGAUUCUUCGGAUGAUUUCCUUUGUGACUGAGCGGCGGACGGGUGAGUAACGCGUGGGUAACCUGCCUCAUACAGGGGGAUAACAGUUAGAAAUGACUGCUAAUACCGCAUAAGACCACGGUACCGCAUGGUACAGUGGUAAAAACUCCGGUGGUAUGAGAUGGACCCGCGUCUGAUUAGGUAGUUGGUGGGGUAACGGCCUACCAAGCCGACGAUCAGUAGCCGACCUGAGAGGGUGACCGGCCACAUUGGGACUGAGACACGGCCCAGACUCCUACGGGAGGCAGCAGUGGGGAAUAUUGCACAAUGGAGGAAACUCUGAUGCAGCGACGCCGCGUGAAGGAUGAAGUAUUUCGGUAUGUAAACUUCUAUCAGCAGGGAAGAAAAUGACGGUACCUGACUAAGAAGCCCCGGCUAACUACGUGCCAGCAGCCGCGGUAAUACGUAGGGGGCAAGCGUUAUCCGGAUUUACUGGGUGUAAAGGGAGCGUAGACGGCACGGCAAGCCAGAUGUGAAAGCCCGGGGCUCAACCCCGGGACUGCAUUUGGAACUGCUGAGCUAGAGUGUCGGAGAGGCAAGUGGAAUUCCUAGUGUAGCGGUGAAAUGCGUAGAUAUUAGGAGGAACACCAGUGGCGAAGGCGGCUUGCUGGACGAUGACUGACGUUGAGGCUCGAAAGCGUGGGGAGCAAACAGGAU